UGAGUGUGAAGGUGUGUGUGUGUGUGUGUGUGUGGUUACCAGGAUCCUCUCUAUGAGCAUGUCGUAGUACUGCUCCGUCAGCUGUGUGUGUGUGUGUGUGUGUGUGUGUGUGUGUGUGUGUGUGUGUGUGGUUACCAGGAUCCUCUCUAUGAGCAUGUCGUAGUACCGCUCCGUCAGCUGUGUGUGUGUGUGUGUGUGUGUGUGAAGGUGUGUGUGUGUGUGGUUACCAGGAUCCUCUCUAUGAGCAUGUCGUAGUACUGCUCCGUCAGCUGUGUGUGUGUGUGUGUGUGUGUGUGUGUGUGUGUGGUUACCAGGAUCCUCUCUAUGAGCAUGUCGUAGUACCGCUCCGUCAGCUGUGUGUGUAUGUGUGUGUGUGAAGGUGUGUGUGUGUGUGUGUGGUUACCAGGAUCCUCUCUAUGAGCAUGUCGUAGUACCGCUCCGUCAGCUGUGUGUGUGUGUGUGUGUGAAGGUGUGUGUGUGUGUGGUUACCAGGAUCCUCUCUAUGAGCAUGUCGUAGUACUGCUCCGUCAGCUGUGUGUGUGUGUGUGUGUGUGUGUGAAGGUGUGUGUGUGUGUGGUUACCAGGAUCCUCUUUAUGAGCAUGUCGUAGUACCGCUCCGUCAGCUGUG
Molecule: long non-coding RNA, 628 nt
Organism: Hypomesus transpacificus
Lineage: Eukaryota; Metazoa; Chordata; Actinopteri; Osmeriformes; Osmeridae
Exons: 3
Source: RefSeq, a predicted model, not a curated record